CGGAGGGUGCAAGCGUUAUCCGGAUUCACUGGGUUUAAAGGGUGCGUAGGCGGGCAGGUAAGUCCGUGGUGAAAUCUCUGAGCUUAACUCAGAAACUGCCAUGGAUACUAUUUGUCUUGAAUGUUGUGGAGGUAAGCGGAAUAUGUCAUGUAGCGGUGAAAUGCUUAGAUAUGACAUAGAACACCAAUUGCGAAGGCAGCUUACUACACAAAUAUUGACGCUGAGGCACGAAAGCGUGGGGAUCAAACAGGAUUAGAUACCCUGGUAGUCCACGCCCUAAACGAUGAUUACUCGACAUCAGCGAUACACUGUUGGUGUCUGAGCGAAAGCAUUAAGUAAUCCACCUGGGAAGUACGAUCGCAAGAUUG
RNAcentral lists this ribosomal RNA (368 nucleotides) under uncultured organism. Its description in RNAcentral is "bacterial SSU rRNA". It matches the Rfam family "Bacterial small subunit ribosomal RNA", at positions 526 to 896 of the family's 1533-position model. The record is from RNAcentral.